GAUGAAGAACGUAGCGAAAUGCGAUACGUAAUGUGAAUUGCAGAAUUCAGUGAAUCAUCGAGUCUUUGAACGCACAUUGCGCCCCCUGGUAUUCCGGGGGGCAUGCCUGUCCGAGCGUCAUUGCUGCCCUCAAGCACGGCUUGUGUGUUGGGCCUCCGUCCUCCUCCCGGGGGACGGGCCCGAAAGGCAGCGGCGGCACCGCGUCCGGUCCUCGAGCGUAUGGGGCUUCGUCACCCGCUCUUGUAGGCCCGGUCGGCGCUUGCCGACACAUCAAUCUUUUUUCCAGGUUGACCUCGGAUCAGGUAGGGAUACCCGCUGAACUUAAGCAUAUAAUAAGCGGAGGA
RNAcentral lists this unclassified non-coding RNA (344 nucleotides) under soil metagenome. RNAcentral's name for it is "partial contains 5.8S ribosomal RNA, internal transcribed spacer 2, and large subunit ribosomal RNA". The stretch from base 1 to 120 matches the Rfam family "5.8S ribosomal RNA", at positions 35 to 154 of the family's 154-position model. The record is from RNAcentral.